AUUACAUAACCUAAGAACCACAAAACAAAUAGUAAUCUGAAACUCAAAACAAUACUAUACUUGAUGCAUUCUAAAGAGUGAAUAACCGAUGCAUACUACAUUGGUACUAUCCAAAUAUCCUCUGUGCAUGAGCUAAAAUGGGAGACUUACAGCUUAAAGAAUAGUGGACUUUGGGUGGGUGUUGACAUUGCAAUUGCCCUGGUAUUGAAUUUUGGGUAUUGAUAUCCUGAAGCAUGAUAUGGGUAGCCAUCACAGCACAAAAGAUAAAAGAUUUUUGUCACAUGGAUACAAAAUAUAGAACCGCAAAAUAAGAGUUUAUAAUGCGCAGGGAGACGGUGCACGCCAACUGUUCUACAAAUGUCUCAAAGAUGAAGACAUCAGGGUGUUUACAGAUUCAAGAAUUUACAUAACGUAGUGGGAUAAAAGGAAAAAUAAGUAUUUAUCUGCCGACAUAGUGAAAGGCUAGCAAUUAUAUUUGGUUUGGACAACGUUAUUGGUGAUGCUAAGCAACACAAUCUAAUAGGCUUUCAUUAUCAUAAUGUGCGCUCUAUCAUAUAUUCAGUAUGCCCAUCAAUUCAUAGUGAAUGUAUGCCCAUCAAUUCAUAUAUUCAGUAGGCUUUCAUUAUCAUAUAGUGAAUGUAUUCCCAUCAAUUCAUAGGAAAAAGAAUUAUUUCGUCAGAUGUCGUGGUUACAAUUUCCCUUGUAGAUAUGCAUGCGGAAUUUGGAGGCAAAGAUAAUGGCGUGUGAAUCGUUUGGCAAAUGUUUCAAAGGAAUGCUGAGGAGAGGAAACGAAGCUGAAUUGUUUGACAGAAUGCCUAAUCAAUGAAUUGUUUAGUCAAA
Cryptomeria japonica (Japanese cedar) is the source of this 840-nucleotide long non-coding RNA. RefSeq lists it as uncharacterized. NCBI's taxonomy places the organism in Eukaryota, Viridiplantae, Streptophyta, Pinopsida, Cupressales, Cupressaceae. The record is from RefSeq and is a predicted model, not a curated record. The transcript has 2 exons.